CGAAACGGGUAGAGUAACACGUAAACAACCUGCCUUCAGGAUGGGGACAACAGACGGAAACGACUGCUAAUACCGAAUAAGUUCCAAGAGCCGCAUGGCCCAUGGAAGAAAAGGUGGCCUCUACCUGUAAGCUAUCGCCUGAAGAGGGGUUUGCGUCCGAUUAGAUAGUAGGCGGGGUAACGGCCCACCUAGUCGACGAUCGGUAGCCGGACUGAGAGGUUGAACGGCCACAUUGGGACUGAGACACGGCCCAGACUCCUACGGGAGGCAGCAUG
Molecule: ribosomal RNA, 275 nt
Filed under: uncultured bacterium
Lineage: Bacteria
Description: partial 16S ribosomal RNA
Rfam family: Bacterial small subunit ribosomal RNA
Source: RNAcentral